This 410-nucleotide ribosomal RNA is filed under the name Verrucomicrobiota bacterium. RNAcentral's name for it is "Verrucomicrobia bacterium partial 16S ribosomal RNA". It matches the Rfam family "Bacterial small subunit ribosomal RNA", at positions 355 to 776 of the family's 1533-position model. Lineage: Bacteria; Pseudomonadati; Verrucomicrobiota. The record is from RNAcentral.
UGGGGAAUCUUGCACAAUGGGCGAAAGCCUGAUGCAGCGACGCCGCGUGCGGGAUGAAGGCCUUCGGGUUGUAAACCGCUUUCAGCAGGGACGAGGCCGCAAGGUGACGGUACCUGCAGAAGAAGCCCCGGCUAACUACGUGCCAGCAGCCGCGGUAAUACGUAGGUCCCGAGCGUUGUCCGGAUUUAUUGGGCGUAAAGCGAGCGCAGGCGGUUAGAAAAGUCUGAAGUGAAAGGCAGUGGCUCAACCAUUGUAGGCUUUGGAAACUGUUUAACUUGAGUGCAGAAGGGGAGAGUGGAAUUCCAUGUGUAGCGGUGAAAUGCGUAGAUAUAUGGAGGAACUCCGGUGGCGAAAGCGGCUCUCUGGUCUGUAACUGACGCUGAGGCUCGAAAGCGUGGGGAGCGAACAGG